GGAAGGAUCAUUACCAUAAAACAAAAUCUCUUCUCACUGGGGGCUCAUUGCGAGUCUUCCGCGGACUUUUUUUAAAUAAUUUAUUUCUUUAUGUGGCGAGGCCGAAACACGGCCUUGUUAUUUAAGCGACGAAUAAUUAUUUAAACCUUUCGCUCCUGCGGGCAGGAACCGGCCCGCCUGCUUACAAACGGGGUCGACGAAACGUGUUGUUUUUUCCUUGCCCGCGGGGGACGACUUAACGGAAAGAUAUUUGUUCGUGCCUUCUUAUCCAUUAGAUGGAUGAAUUGGACGAACGCGGACGAGUGGCUCCUCGUUGAGGCUGCGGGGGGUGGUGUAAUACCUACCGCCCGCUGCCCGAAAUAAAGCCGAACCACGAAACACACCAAAAGUCGAAUCUGAAUCAUCGGAAGGAAGGAAGGAAGCCUAGCCUUGUUGGGCUCUCCAGCCGACCCGCCGAGCAUUACAUAUACGUAACGACUAAAAACUUUCAGCGACGGAUGUCUUGGCUCCCACUACGAUGAAGAACGCAGCGAAAUGCGAUACGUCUUGCGACUUGCAGAAUCCAGUGAAUCAUCAAAACUUUGAACGCACCUUGCGCUUCCGGGAAAUCCCUGGGAGCAUGCUUGUCGGAGUGUCUGUUGACGCCAAUCGCUAGACCCCCUGGUCUCUGAUCGGGUGUGUCUGGCGGACUAUGAGUGUUCCGGAAGCGUAAGCCGCCGAGUCCACCGAAGUAUGUAAGAUUUGUAAGGCCCAUGCGAACAUCACCCGCCCGUCGAAGUGAGUUAGUGCAGGUUGGGUCGUUUACGGAGGUCCCUUUUUCUCCUUCGAGAGAGGAGGGGGUCAAAAUUACGGUCCGGCCACCGUACUUGCGAGGGCGGGAGAAUCUGUCCGUGUCUGGCGUUUUGCAGAUCAUGAAAGGAUCGAUCGUUUUUGUCGGGAAGCUACGUGCCCCCGGCCAGCGAGCUUUCAACACAAAUGCAUUUAAUUCUACCUCCGAUCAAGCA
Molecule: unclassified non-coding RNA, 1004 nt
Filed under: Fucus spiralis
Lineage: Eukaryota; Phaeophyceae; Fucales; Fucaceae
Description: Fucus vesiculosus var. spiralis sequence contains 18S rRNA gene, ITS1, 5.8S rRNA gene, ITS2
Rfam family: 5.8S ribosomal RNA (bases 483-637)
Source: RNAcentral